Schistocerca nitens (vagrant locust) is the source of this 75-nucleotide non-coding RNA. The record is from the annotation of a RefSeq genome assembly. Lineage: Eukaryota; Metazoa; Arthropoda; Insecta; Orthoptera; Acrididae.
GCCCUCUGUGGCUCAAAUGGAUAGAGCGUCUGCCCUGAGAGCAGAAGAUCCUGGGUUCGAGUCCCGGUUGGGGCA